UAUCCUUACGGCAGGCCGGAUUCCGUGCCUUCAAUAUGGCGUCCCCCAUGUAGACCGCCGCCGUGGUUUCUCCCUCAGGUGGCCGCGGCAAAUCUGAGCUGACGCUGCGGUCUGUGCAGCCUGGGCUGCAGAAGCAGCAAACUUCGUUCCUGGUGACGGCUCCAGAAAGUCACUGAGGGUCAGGACUCGAGUUUCUGAAAGUUCCUCUUUAGCCUCUGUUUCCCGCGCUGUCUCGGCACCUCAAAGUCCCUGACCCUCUCAGACGCAAACCAUGAGCGUUGGGCAGCUGCUCUUGCGCUUUCCCAGUUAUCUCGGGACCGUGGGACCCCCACGUCGCCUGUGGUGGUGGUCUAAGUCCCUCGACACCCCCUCGGUAGGCUCCUGUCGUGGUCGGUCCUCCAAGUCGCCGGCCCAUUGGAACCAGGUGGUGUCAGAGGCGGAGAAGAUCGUCGGCUAUCCCACGUCUUUCAUGAGCCUCCGCUGUCUGCUGAGUGACGAGCUCAGCAACAUCGCUAUGCAGGUGCGGAAGCUGGUGGGGACUCAGCACCCUCUCCUUACCACUGCCAGGGGCCUUGUGCAUGACAGCCGGCAUAAUCUCCAGUUGAGGGGCUUGGUGGUGCUGCUCCUUUCUAAAGCAGCGGGGCCCAGCACCAAGAACACUUCCUCUCCGAAUUAUGACAUGGUCAGUGGGAUACUCCCACGGUCCUGGAACUUCUAGGGAGUGCUCUUAUGGAGUUGGUGCAAGGAGUGUACCAGGAAAAUUCUACUUCAGCCAGGGAAAAAAGCAUGUGUUUUCAGUCUACAUGCUACAGGAAUUUUGGAAGUCCAACAUUCAUUUUGUACUGGUUCUAUCUUUGCCAGUCCAAAUUGCUGGUGUUGUUUCCCAACAACCACCAAACAAAAAUAAAAACAAGAAAGAGAACAGAAGAAACAAAGAGUUUGGAGGGUUGUUGACUGUAAUGAAGCAGCCACCAAACAAGUACCAUUUGCUGACUUUCUCAUUAGCUAAUAAAUUUGACUCAAAAGAAUAUGUGGCAACACUUUGUUCAUCUGAACUUUCCCCACCACCUUCCUAAACAAAGCCCUUUAAAGCACUUGUCUCCUUUUAAAGACAGUUAAGUUUCAAAAUGUAGCUAAACCGGUUAACAAUUAGGUUUUUUUGUUUUUUAAUUAAUGGGAACAAAAAUGCAUAGUUGAACCACAGCAGUGGGAGUGCUUCUUGCUUCCUUCAUUUUUACCCCAGGUCCAAUUUAGACUAACCACAUUUCCCUUCCUAACCAGAAAAAUUCUGUGCCCUUCUCCCCUACCCCCCAACCCCCUUCUUCUGAGUAUGCUUGCCACUGCAGUGAAUUAGUUUUUCUAACUUGGCCCAGGGAUCACUGCAGAGGCAGAACGCAUUACCCGCACAUGGAGUACCUUUCCAGGUCUGCAUGUUCUGGUAUGACUGAGGAGCCACAAGUGGAGAUCAUAUGGUAAGUGAGGCCCACUCUGUGGGUCUCUGUUUCACAACCUCCACAGCCUUGAGCCAAUUCAGUACACAAAAUUAUUACUUUGUGAUUUCAACUAAGCUACAGACCAUUUCAUCUGUUUAGGGAUAAGAGGAUACAGUAGUGGUCAAUUUUCUAUAUGGCAAUUUAAUCAGCAAUGGAGAAUCUUGUGGUAGGAAAGUGGCUUUCUCUGGAGUUGUGGCUGUGACUAGGGAACGUACAUUAAAACAAAUGGGAAUUGGAACUGGAUGUUUUAGAAAUCACCUUCCCCAAAAGAAGCUCAUAAAUGUCUAAUUGUCCUUAGAACAAUGAAAACUUUAUGAUUUAAAUUAUUAAUAUUGAAUGAAUUGAUCAUGAAAACAUGCAAAGCACUUUAGGAAAUUUAUCCUUUGUUCUACCCAUUGAAGAAAUAUUUUUAUUUUUGCAUUUGCUAGCUUGUGAGCCAUUUCUUCCUUACAAUAAAAUUUAACCCUCGGGCCUUUUAAAAAGUUCAUAAGAAAAUAUCUUUCUCCCCUCUACCCAUUUCUUCUAUAUUAGCUAAUUGAAGAAAGAAACAAGUAGAAAAAUUGCAUUGUCAGUGGUCAUUUGCCAUUCUAAUGGUUACCUACUACUCUAUUAUAUGUAUAUAUAUUUAUAUACAUAUUUGCAUUCUCAGCUCAUGUUGCUUCAUUGUACACAUACACAUGCAUACACACACACACACACACACACAGAGUUCCUAGUUCUUAACAACAGUUUCUUUCUAGAGCAAGGAAUAAAAUUUCUUCAAAACUCACAACCAUGCACAGAUUAAAAAGCAAGCUGCUUUUUGUGAUACCUCAAAUAUAUUCAAUGAAAUUCUUUUAGCAUUUUCUUAUAUACCAGUGGUACAACAGAGACUAUAGAACAGCAAGUUAACAGCAAGCAACUCGUAUACUUAAAAGACAGUAAAUAACCUAUUAUGAAAGGUAACUUAAAUAUUCUUGAUCAUUUUAAUUAUAGGAGAAUGUAGUUUAAGGUUAAUGCCAAGACUAGUAUUGUUGUUUAAAGAUUGUAGAUAACAUACUGCCAGAAUACCUUUCUGACCCCUGGCAAGUUUAGUGCUGGUAUGGAAUCAUGGCCUCAUGCGUGCUAGAGAAGUGCUAUAGUAGUGUAAGUUCUGCCUAUAUAUUAUACUUAUAUUCUCUUUGUGGUUGUUAAAUAUAUUUUAAUAUUGACUUUGGAGUCACAAACCAAAAUAUAUAAACUUUUAAUACAGUUUCCUUAAUUAUUAUGAUUAUUGUAACAUAUUUUCUGAUUAGUAAAGCACUAUAUAAUCAUUAAAUAAGAAUUGAAAUUACAGCCACCUCUGCAGAGUGCUUAUCCCUAAAUAGGACGCCUAUAUCAAAUUUCUGCCCCCCAAGGUUCAGGGAUCAUUGUGGAAGAGGGGGCAGAAAGAUUGUAAGAGCCAGAGAAGGUGAAUGACUACAAGGAAUCAGUUUUUCAGACAGCUGCGUAGUUAUUCAUACGAACUCAUAGUAACAGUGACAGCAUGUCCCAUGCAAGCUCAAACCAGAAAAAUAUCCCAGCAUAAACAUGAAGAAGUGGAUAAGAUGCUCCAAUGCCACCUAAGGCAAUUGUGUCAGCAGAUGGCUGCUGGGAGGGGCAAAGACAGUCUCUUUCAAGCAUGGGACUCUUGGUGAGUUAACCAGGCUCCACUGGAUGGACCCAUGUUGAAGGACAUUUGGGCACACAAAUUACA
Molecule: RNA transcript, 3207 nt
Organism: Nannospalax galili (Upper Galilee mountains blind mole rat)
Lineage: Eukaryota; Metazoa; Chordata; Mammalia; Rodentia; Spalacidae
Gene: Pdss2
Gene name: decaprenyl diphosphate synthase subunit 2
Exons: 5
Source: RefSeq, a predicted model, not a curated record